This 654-nucleotide ribosomal RNA is filed under the name uncultured archaeon. RNAcentral's name for it is "bacterial SSU rRNA". It matches the Rfam family "Archaeal small subunit ribosomal RNA", at positions 508 to 1160 of the family's 1478-position model. The record is from RNAcentral.
GCCUAAAGCGUCCGUAGCCGGCUCUGUAAGUUUUCGGUUAAAUCCAUAUGCUCAACAUAUGGGCCGCCGGGAAUACUACAAAGCUAGGGAGUGGGAGAGGUAGACGGUACUCCGUAGGAAGGGGUAAAAUCCUUUGAUCUAUGGAUGACCACCAGUGGCGAAGGCGGUCUACCAGAACACGUUCGACGGUGAGGGAUGAAAGCUGGGGGAGCAAACCGGAUUAGAUACCCGGGUAGUCCCAGCUGUAAACUAUGCAAACUCAGUGAUGCAUUGGCUUGUGGCCAGUGCAGUGCCGCAGGGAAGCCGCUAAGUUUGCCGCCUGGGAAGUACGUACGCAAGUAUGAAACUUAAAGGAAUUGGCGGGGGAGCACCACAAGGGGUGAAGCCUGCGGUUUAAUUGGAGUCAACGCCAGAAAUCUUACCCGGAGAGACAGCAGGAUGAAGGUCAAGCUGAAGACUUUACCAGACAAGCUGAGAAGUGGUGCAUGGCCGUCGCCAGCUCGUGCCGUGAGGUGUCCUGUUAAGUCAGGUAACGAGCGAGAUCCUUGCCUCUAGUUGCCACCAUUACUCUCAGGAGUAGUGGGGCGAAUUAGCGGGACUGCCGUAGUUAAUACGGAGGAAGGAGAGGGCCACGGCAGGUCAGUAUGCCCCGAA